GAUGAAGAACGCAGCGAAAUGCGAUAAGUAAUGUGAAUUGCAGAAUUCAGUGAAUCAUCGAAUCUUUGUACGCACAUUGCGCCCGCCAGUAUUCUGGCGGGCAUGCCUGUUCGAGCGUCAUUUCAACCAUCAAGCCCCCGGGCUUGUGUUGGGGACCUGCGGCUGCCGCAGGCCCUGAAAACCAGUGGCGGGCUCGCUAGUCACUCCGAGCGUAGUAGUUACAUCUCGCUCAGGGCGUGCUGCGGGUUCCGGCCGUUAAAAGCCUUUUACCCCAAGGUUGACCUCGGAUCAGGUAGGAAGACCCGCUGAACUUAAGCAUAUCAAUAAGCGGAGGA
Molecule: unclassified non-coding RNA, 335 nt
Filed under: soil metagenome
Description: partial contains 5.8S ribosomal RNA, internal transcribed spacer 2, and large subunit ribosomal RNA
Rfam family: 5.8S ribosomal RNA (bases 1-120)
Source: RNAcentral